GGUUGUUUCAGUCAGCGGUUUGUGUUAAUUUUUUGAGAAACAAAUGUUUUUUGAAUAAUUUGUCGCUACAAACUCUGAUAAUCUUUACAAAAAGCUUCACCAUGGAUGACCAAGCAUGCCCCCGCUGUAAAACCACGAAAUAUAGAAAUCCCUCUUUAAAGUUGAUGGUAAACGUGUGCGGUCAUGCCUUGUGUGAAAGUUGUGUCGAUUUGCUGUUUUUAAAAGGAUCGGGAUCAUGCCCAGAAUGUAAUGUGCCUCUUCGGAGGAGCAACUUCAGAGUCCAAUUAUUCGAAGAUGCUAUGGUAGAGAAGGAAAUAGACAUACGGAAGCGUGUUCUUAAAGAUUACAAUAAAAAGGAGGAAGACUUUGCCACGUUACGAGAAUACAAUGACUAUUUAGAAGAAAUUGAAACUAUAAUAUAUAAUCUGACGAAUAAUAUUGAUAUAGUUGGCACUAAUAAGAGGAUUGAACAGUAUAAGAAGGAAAAUAAAGAAUUGAUACAGAAGAAUAAGGUUAAAAUAGGAAGAGAAGAAUUAGAGUUAGAAGAGAUACUAGAGAUAGAGAAGCAGAUGGAAGACCUAAGAAGAUCAGAAGCAGCCCGUAUAGAGCAGGAAGCUAAGAAGCAAAAGAUUCGGGAGAAGGAAGCGUUGAUUGAUGAGUUAAUGUUUGCUGAGGGUGAUGCCAAAGAUAUACUGACCACAUUUGCUCAAAACAUUGCCAACAAACAAGAAGAAGCUUUGCCUGUUGUGCCGAAGGUGACACAGUUCUCAACGGGCGUGAAGUUCACGCGAGGCAGCAACCAUACAAUGUUACCGGUCAUUGAAGAGGGCCCAUUGUACAAGUAUGAGCCACCGGUUGUACCGGACUGGAUAGGACCAGACCCACCCACUCUGGAUGAUAUUGUUAACAAUGGGUAUUUGCAGCAUGUCAGAACAGAGACAGAAACAGAGAAAGCGGGUGGUUACUCAGCCACUCUGCCGUGCCUGCGCGCCCUGCAAGACGCACUCGCUGGCCUCUACCACGCCAGCUGACGAAAACCACCAAAAGUGGUGGAAACCGUCAUCAUAUUAGACUAACAGCACUAACACUGUCAAGUUGUCACCAUUACUACUUCGUACAAAACCACGCCAAAAAAUUAAAAAUAAUAUGUAAUUGCUAUGGAACUGAAUAAGUGUAAAAAAAAAUGUAAUAAAUAGUGGUGUUCUGAGUUUCGAUUUUUGAAUUAAGUGUAAAAUGAAGAUGACAUUCAAAAUAAUCAAGGAGUUGUUUCGGUCUAAUAUUUGAUCUGUACGCAGAUUCUGCAUAGAAUUAUUAUAACUUGUAAAUUAGUUUCAUUUAAAUCCGUCGACUUCUUUAGUUUAUCCUUAGACUUGGUUUUGUAAUAACAAUGAAAACCGUUAGAUGUCUAGAACUGAUUGGCUGAGAGUUUCGCUUAAGAAAUUAGGAGUUUCAUCUUUUCAUGUAUUUUGAAAGUAAUCUUCAUUACUUACUACUGUAUUGUGUUACAGUGUAAUAAAAUUUGAAGUUGCAUGAUAAAAUUAGUUACAUUAAAUAAUAAUGAAACAUAUCCAGUUGAUUGUUAUCAUUGUUUCGAAUUGUUUUUGUUCUAGAAACAAAAUAGGCAGCAUUUAAUUGUUCAUUUAUACUGUCUUGUUUUCUUUUUACGGGUACCUCUAAUUAUUUAAACAGUUUUUUUGUCCAAAAUAGUGUUCGUGAAUGAUUUCACGAGUAUGUUGUGAUAAAUUUCCCAUGUGAUGGCAUUUUGUUACUGUUCUGUUUGUUUUCUUAUUUUUGUAAAUAUAAUAGUAAGAUGUGUUUUAAACUAAGCUAGAAAUAUGUGUCUAUUUGUUACAUUUUAUGGCAUGUAAGAGUCUUGAAGUAGUGAAAAGUAUUUACUAUGUUUAGGUGAAAAACUUUGUCUCGUGAUAACUACUGCCUGUAUUAUAUUUCUGGUUUAUUUAUAAAUAACUUAUUAUUGAAAUAGAAUUAAUUACAACGAAGUUCGAUGUUCGUCUAAAAAAUAAAAGUGUUGAAGUGGC
This 2039-nucleotide unclassified non-coding RNA is filed under the name Pectinophora gossypiella (pink bollworm). RNAcentral's name for it is "cDK-activating kinase assembly factor MAT1". Lineage: Eukaryota; Metazoa; Arthropoda; Insecta; Lepidoptera; Gelechiidae. The record is from RNAcentral.